GGAAAAUGGCCAAAAACGGCCCAACAAUGGGGAAAAAAGGGGGAAUUAUUCUGAUAGAGCUGGGGCAGCCCCAGAGUUUGGGGAGAAAAACACAAAGUUUGGUUAAAAUGAGAAAAAAUGGGAAAAAAUGGGGAAAAAAUGGGAAAAACGGGGAAAAAAUGGGGGAAAAUGGGGAAAAACAGGGGAAAAAUGGGAAUUUGGGAAUGGGGAACCACCUGGGCACUGCUGGGAUUGGGGAAAAAAUAGGAAAAAAUGGGGGAAAAUGGGAAAAAAUGGGGAAAAAUGGGGAAAAUUGGGGAAAACAGGGAAAAAAACAGGAAAAAAUGGGGAAAAACGGGGAAAAAAAUGGGAAUUUGGGAAUGGGGAACCAGCUGGGCACUGGUGGAAUGGGGGAAAACCAGGGAAAUUUGGGAAAAAUCUGGAAAAAUCUGGGGAAAAAUGGGGAAAAAUGGGAAAAAAAUGGGAAAAAACGGGGAAAAAACGGGAAAAAACAGGGGGAAAAUGGGAAAAAAUGGGAAAAAAUGGGAAUUUGGGAAUGGGGAACCACCUGGGCACUGCUGGAAUUGGGGAGAAACAAGGGAAUUUGGGAAAAAAUGGGAAAAAAAGGGAAAAAGCCUGGAAAAAUGGGGAAAACCAGGGGAAAAAUCCAGGGGAAAAUGGGAAAAUCCAGGGGAAAUCCUAGAAAAAUGGGAGUUCAGGAAUUUGGGAUUUGGGGAAUUUGGGAAUUCGGGAUUUAGGGAUUUUGGUAAUUCAGGAUUUUGGAAUUCAGGACUUUGGGAUUUCGGGAUUUUGGGAAUUCUGGAAUUUGAGAAUUCAGGACUUUUUUGGGAUUUUGGGAAUUCAGGAUUUUGGGAAUCUGGAAUUCAGGAGUUUGAGAAUUUGGGAAUUCAGGAUUUUGGGAAUUUGGGAAUUCAGGACUUUGGGAUUUUGGGAUUUGGGGAAUUCAGGAUUUUGGGAAUUUGGGAAUUCAGGAUUUUGGGACUUUGGGAAUUCAGGAUUUUGGGAAUUUGGGAUUUAGGGAUUUUGGGAAUUUGGGAUUUAGGGAUUUUGGGAAUUAGGGAUGUAGGGAAUUUGGGCUGGAGGGGCUGGGCUCUCACUAGUGCCGCAGCUGCAGCAGCCGCGCCUCGGCCUCGUAGGAGAUCAGCAAACAGCGACGGAUGGAGUUCAGGUUCACCUGCGGCAGGGAAACUCCCAGCAAAUCCCCGACAAUUCCCAAAAAAUCCACCAUUAAUUCCCCAAUAAAUUCCCAAUUAAUCCCCAUCAAAUCCCCCAUCAAUUCCCAAAAAAUCCACCAUUAAUUCCCCAAUAAAUUCCUCAUUAGAUCCCCCA
RNAcentral lists this long non-coding RNA (1329 nucleotides) under Serinus canaria (Common canary). RNAcentral describes it as "lncRNA (ENSSCAG00000007828.1)". Lineage: Eukaryota; Metazoa; Chordata; Aves; Passeriformes; Fringillidae. The record is from RNAcentral.